CAGUGUUGGGAUUAAUUCCUUUCACGUGCACGCUCUGCUUAUCUUCUUGUGCCUCUUGUGUGCUUAUUUUCUAGGUACCUGUCACUAACUCAGCCCUCAACUUUCCAACAAAAUUAAAACUAUCACAACUGCCAGCUGCUCCAGAGCCAUCUUUACAAAGUGUGGACCAUCAGGAACCAUGUCCAUGACUGUGAGAGUUCUUACAGACACCUGUGAGUGCUUUAACAGAUGCACACUCUUGGAAGAAUGUGACAGCAAUACAAAUCCUCCAUGUGUACUGUGGUGGUGGUGCACACCUGCAAUCCCAGCACUUGGGAGGCAAAAGCAGGAGGUUCAUAAGUUCAAGACCAGCCUGGGCUACAUAG
Long non-coding RNA from Castor canadensis (American beaver), 365 nucleotides. RefSeq lists it as uncharacterized. The record is from RefSeq and is a predicted model, not a curated record. NCBI's taxonomy places the organism in Eukaryota, Metazoa, Chordata, Mammalia, Rodentia, Castoridae.